Molecule: long non-coding RNA, 228 nt
Organism: Mytilus californianus (California mussel)
Lineage: Eukaryota; Metazoa; Mollusca; Bivalvia; Mytilida; Mytilidae
Exons: 3
Source: RefSeq, a predicted model, not a curated record
ACGACCCAAACUUUUGUAAUCGUGUUGAUGUGUUUUCUAACUGUCAAGUUGACUCAGACUGUAAAAAUAGAAAACAAAAAUGUUGUAGGAAACAAUGUGGAGCAUUUCAGUGCACUGACCCUAUAGAGGGUAACCGUCCUGGAUGCCCAGCUUGUAUUACCAACCUAAAUAAUCCUGUAUGUCCCUUAUGUAUCCAUUUCCACCAGCAGUGUAACGCGGACCAUGAGU